AGAUUGAACGCUGGCGGCAGGCCUAACACAUGCAAGUCGAGCGGUAGAGAGGUGCUUGCAUCUCUUGAGAGCGGCGGACGGGUGAGUAAUGCCUAGGAAUCUGCCUAGUGGUGGGGGAUAACGUUCGGAAACGGACGCUAAUACCGCAUACGUCCUACGGGAGAAAGCGGGGGACCUUCGGGCCUCGCGCCAUUAGAUGAGCCUAGGUCGGAUUAGCUAGUUGGUGAGGUAAUGGCUCACCAAGGCGACGAUCCGUAACUGGUCUGAGAGGAUGAUCAGUCACACUGGAACUGAGACACGGUCCAGACUCCUACGGGAGGCAGCAGUGGGGAAUAUUGGACAAUGGGCGCAAGCCUGAUCCAGCCAUACCGCGUGGGUGAAGAA
This 384-nucleotide ribosomal RNA is filed under the name uncultured soil bacterium. Its description in RNAcentral is "bacterial SSU rRNA". It matches the Rfam family "Bacterial small subunit ribosomal RNA", at positions 26 to 412 of the family's 1533-position model. The record is from RNAcentral.